CUCACAUACCACUCGUCAGAGACGCUGUCCACGAGCUCACUCGCUCCAACCCGGUUCGGCUCGCUGGGUUCGUUGUUGAUAUGUUCUGCACCCACAUGAUUGAUGUGGCCGAUGAGUUUGGGGUGCCUUCCUAUCUCUUCUUCCCUCCCAGCGCUGCUUUUCUUGGCUUCCUGUUGCAUCUGCAGUUCCUCCAUGAUUAUGAGGGCUUGGAUAUUAAUGAGUUCAAGGACUCGGAUGCUGAGUUGGAGGUUCCAAGUUUUGCUAACUCAGUUCCGGGUAAGGCCUUUCCUUCUUUGAUGAUUGACAAGGAAAGUAGAGGGGCCGAGAUGCUUCUUCAUCACACGAGGAGAUUCAGACACGUCAAGGGUAUUCUGAUAAAUACAUUUAUUGAGCUUGAAUCACAUGCUAUUCAAUCACUUUCUGGCAGUACAGUACCCGUAGUGUAUCCGGUUGGACCCAUACUCAACACCAGAAGGGGAUCUGAUGGGGGUCAACAAGAUGCUAGUGCCAUCAUGAGCUGGCUUGAUGAUCAGCCUCCAUCAUCCGUGGUUUUCCUGUGCUUCGGGAGCAUGGGAAGCUUUGGUGCGGAUCAAAAUCAAGGAGAUAUCACAUGCGUUAGAGCACAGUGGGCAUCGCUUCUUGUGGUCCCUUCACCAACCUCCCCCAAAGGGUAAAGUGAUUACAAGCGACUAUGAAAAUAUUGAGGAAGUUCUACCAGAAGGAUUUUUACAUCGGACGGCUAGAAUUGGAGGGGCUCCACAAAUAGCGGUUUUAGCCCACUCAGCUGUUGGAGGAUUUGUAUCUCAUUGUGGAUGGAAUUCUUUGCUAGAAAGCAUAUUGUACGGUGUUCCAGUAGCCACAUGGCCAAUAUAUGCAGAACAACAAAUCAACGCAUUUCAAAUGGUGAAAGAUUUGGGGUUGGCGGUAGAAAUUAAAAUUGAUUACAAUAAGGAUCGUGAUCAUAUUGUAAGUGCUCAUGAGAUUGAAAAUGGAUUAAGGAACCUAAUGAAUACUAAUUUUAUUAAAGACAUGGUGGCCAACAUUCCAUGCAAGCAACAAAGACGUGACACCUAAUGUAUGAAUUAUUUUAUAAAAGGUGCAUUGCAGGCUCUAAUAAAUUAAUUUAUCAUAUGCUUUAUUUUAAUGUUCAAAUAAUUUCUUUAAUAAAGUCAAGAAAUUUGACCUUUCAAACUAGGAAAUGUGCUAUCUCUUUAUUAUUUAGUAAAACAAGUUUACAAGGGAAUGAAUUUAGUCAUAUGUCGAUCUCAUUGAUCAAUGAAUACACAAUUGAGCAUUUUCCGGUACUAGUAAUAAAAUUAACUAUAUAAUUAAAAAUCAACAAACCCUAUUGGUUUGAGACAAUCUUCAUAAGUGUUUUUUCUAAAUAUUUUUUAUAUUCUUAUGUGAUUGAAUAUAUUUUGGAUUAUGACUUAUAUGAUUUCUCACAUUUCUAAUCAAAAGCAAUAAUUAAAUCCCAAUAAUCAACCUAUAUGAUAACGGAAUCAGUUUAAAAGUUACUAAUUUAAUAUAUCCUAUUUAUGUACAAAAAAUUGUGAGUAUUGUCCCGAAAUAUGUUUCUAAUAUCAACAUAACAUUUCUUCCUCAUUUUGUUUGGCUAAUGAAAAACCAUUAGAAAAAAAAUAUAUAGAUAUUUGAUUAAAAUGAUUAAAAUAGUCUCUAAUUCGAACAAUGCUCUUUUUUAAAAAAAAAAACAAUAUCGAAAAUGAUAAUAUUUUUUUAAUAAAAAUAUCAUUCAUUUAUGUUAAAGCAAUUUGAAAAAAAGAUAUUUUUAUUCAUUUAUAUUUUUUAUUAAUAAAAAUAUCAUUCAUUUAUGUCAAAGCAUUUUUUUUAUUUAUAAGUAUUAAUAUAUUUUUAUUCAUUUAUAAUUUUUAUUUAGAACUUUAAACCAAUAGAAGAUGGCUUUACAAAUUUUGGCCCAAAGAUCCCCAAGAACUUUAUUUGAAAGGUGUAGCAUAUUCGAACCCUUCGUCCAGGGAACAUGAAUCAUAAUUUCGUUGCUGGUUUUAUAUUAAAAUACAUGGGAUACAUCGAGAAACCCACUUUUGCCUCAAUUUUCAACCAAGACCAACCACAAUCAUAGAAAAACGAUAAGGAAAAUAAAUUGAACCAGCAAAGCCCUGACAUCACUUCCUUUGUCCUCCAAUACUAUCCAGCCACAAGUAUAAGAGUGUCACACCACUGCAAAGCCCUCAAAACAUCCCAUUUUUCCUCUCUUUGCAGUAACUGCUAGUUAGUGAUGGAGCAAACUGAGCUGGUCUUCAUCCCAUUUCCUAUCAUCGGCCACCUUACGUCUGCACUGGAGAUUGCAAAGCUGAUUACUCAGCGAGACCCCCGAUUCUCAAUCACGAUCAUCAUCAUGAAGUUUCCGUUUGAGUCCAUUGAUGGUAUGGACACGGACUCUGAUUCCAUACGUUUCGUUACACUUCCUCCUGUAGAGGUCGGCUCCAGUACCACGCCGUCUGGUUUCUUCCUCUCUGAACUCCUCAAAGCUCACAUCCCAGUCGUCAGAGACGCCAUCCACGAGCUCACUCGCUCCAACUCGGUUCGUCUCGCAGGGUUCGUUAUUGAUAUGUUCUGCACCCACAUGAUUGAUGUGGCCAAUGAGUUUGGGGUGCCUUCCUAUCUCUUCUUCACUUCCAGCGCUGCUUUUCUUGGCUUCCUGUUGCAUCUUCAGUUCCUCCAUGAUUAUGAGGGCUUGGAUUUCAAUGAGUUCAAGGACUCGGAUGCUGAGUUGGAUGUUCCGAGUUUC
Molecule: long non-coding RNA, 2770 nt
Filed under: Vitis vinifera (wine grape)
Lineage: Eukaryota; Viridiplantae; Streptophyta; Magnoliopsida; Vitales; Vitaceae
Description: long non-coding RNA (VVIN_LNC003821)
Source: RNAcentral